UACAGAGGUCUCAAGCGUUGUUCGGAUUUAUUGGGCGUAAAGGGCGCGUAGGCGGCGGGGUAAGUCGGGUGUGAAAUCUCAGGGCUCAACCCUGAAACUGCACUUGAUACUGCUCUGCUUGAGGACUGGAGAGGAGACUGGAAUUCACGGUGUAGCAGUGAAAUGCGUAGAUAUCGUGAGGAAGACCAGUGGCGAAGGCGGGUCUCUGGACAGUUCCUGACGCUGAGGCGCGAAGGCUAGGGGAGCAAACGGG
This 253-nucleotide ribosomal RNA is filed under the name uncultured bacterium. RNAcentral describes it as "partial 16S ribosomal RNA". It matches the Rfam family "Bacterial small subunit ribosomal RNA", at positions 524 to 776 of the family's 1533-position model. The record is from RNAcentral.